This 264-nucleotide ribosomal RNA is filed under the name uncultured archaeon. Its description in RNAcentral is "partial 16S ribosomal RNA". It matches the Rfam family "Archaeal small subunit ribosomal RNA", at positions 717 to 982 of the family's 1478-position model. The record is from RNAcentral.
AGACGUCUACAUUAGAUACCCGUGUAGUCCCAGCCGUAAACUAUGCGCGUUAGGUGUAUCGGUGACCACGAGUUACCGAGGUGCCGAAGGGAAACCGUGAAACGUGCCGCCUGGGAAGUACGGUCGCAAGGCUGAAACUUAAAGGAAUUGGCGGGGAGCACCACAACAGGUGGAGCCUGCGGUUUAAUUGGACUCAACGCCGGGAAGCUCACCGGAUAGGACAGCAGAAUGAUUGCUGGGCUGAAGACUCUGCAUGACUAGCUG